RNAcentral lists this ribosomal RNA (315 nucleotides) under Dynomene praedator. RNAcentral describes it as "partial 12S small subunit ribosomal RNA". The record is from RNAcentral. Lineage: Eukaryota; Metazoa; Arthropoda; Malacostraca; Decapoda; Dynomenidae.
UUAAAUUAUUAUUAGUUAUGUUCUUAAAAUUUAGAGAAUUUGGCGGUAUUUUAGUCUGUUUAGAGGAACCUGUUUUUAUUGAACGAUAAACCACGAAUUAUCUUACUUGAGUUUGUAUACCGUCAUUAUUAGAUAAUUUCUAUAGAAUAUAAUUAUUUAAAUAAAAUUUACUUAGUAUAUUAGAUCAAGGUGCAGCAAAUAAGCAAGAAAAAAUGGGUUACAAUAAAAUUUAUUUAUAUGAAUAAAUGUUUUUGAAGGUGGAUUUAAUUGUAUAAAAAUUUAAUAAGUUUGUAUGAUAUUAGCUCUAAAAUAUGU